GACUCGGUAAUGAAGUGGUGAUGGUGAGCAAAUAAAAAGAAGACGAUUUAGGGGUGGGGGUGUUCUUCAAUUUUUCCCCAAGCAUCUCGUCCAAUCCAAUCCAAAUUAGUACUGUAGUAGUGUAGCUGUAGAAAUUCAAUAAGAGAGCUCGAGGGAGGGGAUUGCGAAGGUGAGAGAUUGGAUUAGUUCCCGUCGAUCGGAUUCCAUCGGAUCCUACCUAUACCAAACCCUAAAGGAAAUCCAUGUCGUCCUCGUCGUCCUCCCCGGCGGCGCAGCGCUACUACUGCCACCAGUGUGACCGCACCGUCUCCAUCUCGCCGCCCGCCUCCCCGGACGACGACGUCCUCUGCCCCCGCUGCGGCGGCGGUUUCGUCGAGGAGCUUCACCCAGAUGCCAGCCCCGCCGCCCCCGCGGCCUUCCUCCCCUCGCCGCCCUCCUUCGAUCUCCGCCACUCCGGCGACCUCUCCGCCUUUUUCGGCCCGCCCUCCCCGGAGUCGCCCGCCCCGGGCCUCUUCGACCCCUCCAACUUCCUUCACGACCACUUCGGCGGCCUCCUCUCCGGCGGCGCCACCAUCCAGAUCGUCCUCGAGGGCGGGAGCGCCGCGCCCCUCCUCGCCCCGGGCGUCAGCUUCGCGGACUACUUCAUGGGCCCCUCGGGCCUCGAGCAGCUCAUCCAGCAGCUCGCCGAGAACGACCCCAACCGCUACGGCACACCGCCCGCCGCCAAGUCCGCCGUCGCCGCGCUCCCCGACGUCGCCGUCUCCGCCGACAUGAUGCAGGCCGACGGGGGCGCGCAGUGCGCCGUCUGCAUGGACGACUUCCACCUAGGGUCCGCCGCCAAGCAACUACCGUGCAAGCACGUCUUCCACAAGGACUGCAUCCUCCCGUGGCUCGACCUCCACAGCUCCUGCCCCGUCUGCCGCUUCGAGCUGCCCACAGACGACCCGGAUUACAACCAUCAGCGCGCGUCGUCCGCCCCCGCCCCCGCCCCCGCCCCCGCCCCCGCUGCCUCCUCCCCCAGGGUGGCCGAGAGGAGGUUCAGGAUAUCGCUGCCUUGGCCUCUCAGGGCUGCCUUCGGUGCUGCUGCCCAGGCUGAGUCCAGCCAUCCUACCAAUGAUGAUGUGCCUCCUUCUGGUGCCAACAAUAACGACCAUGAUGCAAGUGGUGGUGGUCCUCAAACUCAAAGCGGAUAUGAUGAUCUAGACUGAGGCCUCAUAGUCUUCUGGUAAAGAGCCGUUGUGCGAAACAAAGAGGUAAACCUACAUUUCUAGGGCAAGGUAACGAUGCUUGGUAGGGGACAUUCAUCAUGAAACAAAAGGCCGGUGCGGCACUGUAGCCUGUUCGCCAUAACGAAGAGAAGGCUUUUGCUUUAUUUCUCAUUGGUACUUGGAUGUAAAGAAUAGAAAGGUGGAAUUUUGGUACUUUGGAUGUUGGUGUAGGGAUUAUUAUUAUUAUUCCUCUUAGGGUGGUUAGGAGCAUGACUACCUUUUGGCAGCCGCAGAUGGAGGACAAAAAAGAAAAAGAAAAAUGGAUGACCAACGUUGCAUUCUGUUUGGUUCUCGACCUAUGUAUAAACAGGAGUAUGCCAUGGGGAUCAGGUCA
This is an RNA transcript of Panicum virgatum (switchgrass), 1602 nucleotides long. It is a transcript of the gene named E3 ubiquitin-protein ligase RING1-like, with no coding region annotated. Lineage: Eukaryota; Viridiplantae; Streptophyta; Magnoliopsida; Poales; Poaceae. The transcript is spliced from 2 exons. The record is from RefSeq and is a predicted model, not a curated record.